Molecule: ribosomal RNA, 468 nt
Filed under: uncultured bacterium
Lineage: Bacteria
Description: partial 16S ribosomal RNA
Rfam family: Bacterial small subunit ribosomal RNA
Source: RNAcentral
GACGAACGCUGGCGGCGUGCUUAACACAUGCAAGUCGAACGGAAAGGCCCUGCUUUUGUGGGUUGCUCGAGUGGCGAACGGGGGAGUAACACGUGAGUAACCUGCCCUUGUCUUUGGGAUAACUUCAGGAAACUGGGGCUAAUACCGGAUAGGAGCUCCUGCUGCGUGUGGUGGGUUGGAAAGUUUCGGCGGUUGGGGCUGGACUCGCGGCUUAUCAGCUUGUUGGUGGGGUAGUUGCUUACCAAGGCUUUGACGGGUAGCCGGCCUGAGAGGGUGACCGGCCACAAGGGGACUGAGAGACGGACCAGUCUCCUACGGGAGGCAACAGUGGGGAAUAUUGCACAAUGGGCGGAAGCCUGAUGCAGCAACGCCGCGUGCGGGAUGCCGGCCUUCGGGUUGUAAACCGCUUUCGACUGUGACGAAGCGUGCGUGACGGUAAUGGGUAAAGAAGCACCGGCUAACUACGUG